Molecule: ribosomal RNA, 160 nt
Filed under: uncultured bacterium
Lineage: Bacteria
Description: partial 16S ribosomal RNA
Rfam family: Bacterial small subunit ribosomal RNA
Source: RNAcentral
UGGGGAAUUUUGGACAAUGGGCGCAAGCCUGAUCCAGCAAUGCCGCGUGCAGGAAGAAGGCCUUCGGGUUGUAAACUGCUUUUGUACGGAGCGAAAAGGCUCUCUCUAAUACAGGGGGCUCACGACGGUACCGUAAGAAUAAGCACCGGCUAACUACGUG